This 156-nucleotide non-coding RNA is filed under the name Burkholderia sp. OK233. The record is from RNAcentral. Lineage: Bacteria; Pseudomonadati; Pseudomonadota; Betaproteobacteria; Burkholderiales; Burkholderiaceae.
CCUGCUGUACGACCAGCAGUAGCCUAGGAAGACAUGCGUCACUGGCAACGGUGGGGUGUGAAGCUCUUCUAACAAUGUAGCCUUCGGACGUAUCGGGCGGGUGAACGCCGCGAGGUGCUCACUCGGAGACUCCAAGCAGCAAAAGGGGUUGAGGCG